UGACACAUGGUCACCAAACAAAGAAACAGAAGUUGAUUCGUCUUCAGAGGAGGACGAAACCAUCGAGAUGGACAGCGGUACUGAUGACAGCGGUGAUGAGGACUACACACCUUAUAUACACAUAAGGACUGGAGCAGCAUUACAAAAAAUAUUACAACUUGAGACUCUGCAAGAAAUUAACAUAGAGGAUACAUGACUGUAAUAUCCCAGAAGCAACUGACCGACGUUUGACAAGCAAGAAAGGUCUUCCUCGACGCUACAAGCUAAGGCCUGAGGAUCCAAGGCGUUAUGGUUUGCUGUCCGGAGUUCCUGCACCAUCAACAGAGGAACUUCUACAACACCUACGGACUUGCGGUGAUGGUAAAACUUUGCCACAGACAUAGGUGUUGGGGGAGGCAAGAGAAAACCCAAAACCUUCUUUAUUUUUGUUUCCUGUGUUUGUUUGUUUUUUGAAAAUAAAGAUAUAUUUUGGGGAAAUAAGGAC
Non-coding RNA from Nothobranchius furzeri (turquoise killifish), 484 nucleotides. The record is from RefSeq and is a predicted model, not a curated record. NCBI's taxonomy places the organism in Eukaryota, Metazoa, Chordata, Actinopteri, Cyprinodontiformes, Nothobranchiidae.